Molecule: transfer RNA, 76 nt
Filed under: Rhodocyclaceae bacterium
Lineage: Bacteria; Pseudomonadati; Pseudomonadota; Betaproteobacteria; Rhodocyclales; Rhodocyclaceae
Description: tRNA-Thr
Rfam family: tRNA
About the family: Transfer RNA (tRNA) molecules are approximately 80 nucleotides in length. Their secondary structure includes four short double-helical elements and three loops (D, anti-codon, and T loops).
Source: RNAcentral
GCCCCAGUAGCUCAGUUGGUAGAGCAGCGCACUUGUAAUGCGCAGGUCGUGCGUUCGAGUCGUACCUGGGGCACCA